This 289-nucleotide unclassified non-coding RNA is filed under the name plant metagenome. RNAcentral's name for it is "partial contains small subunit ribosomal RNA and internal transcribed spacer 1". The stretch from base 1 to 46 matches the Rfam family "Eukaryotic small subunit ribosomal RNA", at positions 1786 to 1831 of the family's 1831-position model. The record is from RNAcentral.
AAGUCGUAACAAGGUCUCCGUUGGUGAACCAGCGGAGGGAUCAUUACUGAGUUCUACAAAAAACUCCCCAACCCUUUGUGAAUUAUACCUUAGUUGCCUCGGCGUCGAGCGAGUCAACCUACCCGGGAGCUACCCUGGAGUCACCUACCCUGUAGAACCUACCCUGUAGGACCUACCCUGUAGACGGCUACCCUGGAGCUACCCUGUAGUUGCACUUUCGCGUCGCCGGUGGACUACCAAACUCUUAUAUGUAUAGUGUAUCUCUGAAUUCUUAACAAAUUAGUUAAAA